Molecule: ribosomal RNA, 488 nt
Filed under: uncultured bacterium
Lineage: Bacteria
Description: bacterial SSU rRNA
Rfam family: Bacterial small subunit ribosomal RNA
Source: RNAcentral
GAUGAACGCUAGCGGCAGGCCUAACACAUGCAAGUAGAACGGUAACAGGAAUAGCUUGCUAUUCGCUGACGAGUUGCGAACGGGUGCGUAACGCGUAUGCAACCUACCUAUAACAGAGGGAUAGCCCAUAGAAAUGUGGAAUAAUACCUCAUAACAUAUUUGAUAGGCAUCUAUUAAAUAUUAAAGCUCCGGCGGUUAUAGAUGGGCAUGCGUGUCAUUAGCUAGUUGGUACGGUAACGGCGUACCAAGGCAACGAUGACUAGGGGUUCUGAGAGGAUUAUCCCCCACACUGGUACUGAGACACGGACCAGACUCCUACGGGAGGCAGCAGUGAGGAAUAUUGGGCAAUGGACGCAAGUCUGACCCAGCCAUGCCGCGUGCAGGAAGACUGCCCUAUGGGUUGUAAACUGCUUUUAUACAGGAAGAAUGUCACCUACGUGUAGGUGUUUGACGGUACUGUACGAAUAAGGAUCGGCUAACUCCGUGCC